Molecule: long non-coding RNA, 1297 nt
Organism: Lates calcarifer (barramundi perch)
Lineage: Eukaryota; Metazoa; Chordata; Actinopteri; Centropomidae
Exons: 3
Source: RefSeq, a predicted model, not a curated record
GUACUUUGAUAAUCCUUUAUUAGUCUCACAGUGGGGAAAUUGUUGUGUGUUGCAGCAACAGAAAUUAACACAGGCAUGAUAUAGACAAGACAAAAUAUGAAAUAAAACAACAUUUAAGAAUAUGUAAACAUGUCAAAACAAAAAUGAACUGUAUAAACAGGAAUAUGUACACAAUAAUAGAUUGAAUUUAAGUACAGAUUUCUCACUGUUUGAUAUAGCAAAAUACCAAAAGGAAACAAUGAAAAAAUGGUCAAAAAAUGUCAUAGUAUAGGAAGGCAUCAAAAAAUGUUAUAGGUGUCAAAAAAUGUCAUAGUAUAGUAAGGCAUCAAAAAACUUCAAAAAAUGUCAUAGUAUAGUAAGGCGUCAAAAUUGGUCAAAAAAUGUCACAGUAUAGUAAGGCUUGAAAAAUGGUCAAAAAAUGUCAUAGUAUAGUAAGGCUUGAAAAAUGGUCAAAAAAUGUCAUAGUAUAGUAAGGCUUGAAAAAUGGUCAAAAAAUGUCAUAGUAUAGUAAGGUGUCAAAAUUGGUCAAAAAAUGUCAUAGUAUAGUAAGGCAACAAAAUUGGUCAAAAAAUGUCAUAGUAUAGUAAGGCUUGAAAAAUGGUCAAAAAAUGUCAUAGUAUAGUAAGGCUUGAAAAAUGGUCAAAAAAUUUCAUAGUAUAGUAAGGCGUCAAAAAUGGUCAAAAAAUGUCAUAGUAUAGUAAGGUGUCAAAAUUUGUCAAAAAAUGUCAUAGUAUAGUAAGGCAUGAAAAAACUUCAAAAAAUGUCAUAGUAUAGUAAGGCUUGAAAAAUGGUCAAAAAAUGUCAUAGUAUAGUAAGGUGUCAAAAUUGGUCAAAAAAUGUCAUAGUAUAUUAAGGCAUGAAAAAACUUCAAAAAAUGUCAUAGUAUAGUAAGGUGUCAAAAAACUUCAAAAAAUGUCAUAAUAUUGUAAAGUCGUCAAAAAUGGUCAAAAAAUGUCAUAAUAUUGUAAAGGUGUCAAAAACGAUCAAAAAAUGUCAUAGUACAGUAUGGCGUCAAAAACUGUCAAAAAUGGUCAAAAAUGUCAUAGUAUAGUAAGGUGUCAAAAAAUGUCCAAAAAUGUCAUAAUAUAGUAAGGUAUCAAAAAAUGUAAAAAAAUAAAAAUAAAAAAAAAAAAGUCAUAGUAUAGUAAGGUGUCAAAAAUGGUCUAAAAACAUCAAAAAAUGUCAAAAAAAAUGUCAUAGUAUUAAAUAACAAUAAAUUUGUGCAGGCCUUUAAGCUCAGGACAGUUUUUGUUAUUAACGUCUUUUGUCUCUGCAGGAGAAGACGACAGCAGCUGAA